RNAcentral lists this long non-coding RNA (487 nucleotides) under Mytilus galloprovincialis (Mediterranean mussel). The record is from RNAcentral. Lineage: Eukaryota; Metazoa; Mollusca; Bivalvia; Mytilida; Mytilidae.
UUAUAAAGCACAAAAAUGUCAGUAUUCACCUCAGAAGCUAACAAAACCUUUAAAUAGACUUAUUAAGAAGGGAUAUAGUUACGAUACUGUUGUCAGGUCAUUAAAGAUUGCAUAUUUUGGUGUUAAUAUUGAUUCACUUAUAGGGUCUUUGCAUCGGAACUAAACACAUUUAUGAUUAAUAAACCAGUUGUUGGCAUGACACGGGUUAUGUUCUUCUCAUAUAUGUUAUGAUGGUAUGAUACUAAACCCCUCACGGGGAAGAUUGUGCCUGAUAUUCAUAUGAUGAAGACAUAAUUUUUCAAUCAGUUUAAUUGAAGUCCGGAGCUGGCAUGUCAGUUAACUGCUAGUAGUCUGAUGUUAUUUAUGUAUUAUUGUCAUUUUGUUUAUUUUCUUUGGUUACAUCUUCUGACAUCAGACUCGGACUUCUCUUGAACUGAAUUUUAAUGUGCGUAUUGUUAUGCGUUUACUUUUCUGCAUUGGCUAGAGG